GGUACCUGCACGCGUUGCGGUGCAACGAUGGUCAAAGA
RNAcentral lists this non-coding RNA (38 nucleotides) under human gut metagenome. Its description in RNAcentral is "Selenocysteine insertion sequence 4". It matches the Rfam family "Selenocysteine insertion sequence 4". The record is from RNAcentral.